Molecule: long non-coding RNA, 705 nt
Organism: Musca domestica (house fly)
Lineage: Eukaryota; Metazoa; Arthropoda; Insecta; Diptera; Muscidae
Exons: 2
Source: RefSeq, a predicted model, not a curated record
UAAGAAGAAACAUAUAGAGCCUGUUCCACGAUCUCGAAAGAAAAUUUGUGCGAACGAAGGCUACUCACUCACUUUCGUAUAAGAAUGCGUUCCACUAUCUUUCGUUCUUUCUUUCGCAUAGCCUUACGUGAUUCAGUGUUGCUAAAUAUUUUUUUGGAAAAAUUAAUCGCGAAAUAAAGCAAAAAAAGCGUCAAAUGUCUAAUUUAAACGCGAAAAAGCAGCAGUGGCUCUGUCUCAACUGACAUUUCAGUUGUAAACAAACAAAUUGUAAAUAAACAAACGAAAUAAAAUUUCUAGUGAUUGUGUUCAAACUAUUUGUGCUCUUAGAAAAUAAAAAAAAGAAUAUUUCCGUAGCCCUAUUUUUUAUGGAGGAGGUUCGAAAUGUGCCACGGAGGAAUUUAAGAGAUGCUUCGAAUUUAUUUGAAGUACCUAACAACCAGUUUGUGGCCAACUUUCGUGUGUCGAAGGAAGUUUUCGGGCUCUUUUGGAUAUGAUGGAAGAGAAGUGGGUGCCCGGUUGCAGAACUACCCAAAUCCGCCCCGAUUUAAAACUUCUUCUGCUGCUUCCAAAAAUUGGCAUUCCUCUGGCGAACACAGGAUUCUCCUCCAUUUACUCAACUAGUGCCCGCAGCUGUGUAGUUGAUGAUUUUUUCGUGCUGGAAUUGAGAAAAUAAAAAAUAUAUAUAUUUGUUGUUCACAUAUUAAA